UCUUUGUUAUGUUCCGGGGUUCUCUGGUUCUCUUGGUGGGGUUUUUCCUGUGCGCCUUUUCCACCUCUUACCACCAGAUGGCGACAGGUUCCGGUUGGAGUGCGGUGGUAUCAUCAUCAUCCACAGCUGUCAUCAAUUACCCUCAUCAGCGGAGCAUACUUAAGGAGUUGACCGCCAGUCCAGCGUCGCCUGAGUGUUUGCCAGUCACGGUACCUCUGAGCCCCCUUGAGCCCUGUCUCUGUGUUCCUCGUUGCCUUGAGCCUUCCUUUGAUUCUCUUUGUGUUUCUCUGUUGCCUUCAGGAGAUCCCUUUGACACUCUGGACCCGCUGACCAGAUCCUGGCAGUUUCCUUGGUUUCAGAACCUCCCUCGUGACGCCGUGGAAAGUAUCCACUGGUUGCCCGAGUUCCCAGACUCACCUCUCCGUUGUUUGCAAGUAUCUCCUGGACCCCACGGCUGGCGGCCGAAUCACUCCUCUGUGUCUCUGUUGCACCCGAGCCUACCUGUCCGUUCUCCGCCGCACUCCUCCGUUGUUCCUGGACCCACUAGAGACCGAGACCCUGGACAUACUCAGUAACCCUCCAAGAUUCAGAUCCAGCCACCACCAAUGAACCACUGCUGCCCGUUACAGUUGAUUCCCUGGACCAGACCACCUUCCCACACUCUGAUAAUUGUGUACCUUAAUAAAUCACUUAAACUGAU
Long non-coding RNA from Xiphophorus couchianus (Monterrey platyfish), 700 nucleotides. RefSeq lists it as uncharacterized. The transcript is spliced from 2 exons. The record is from RefSeq and is a predicted model, not a curated record. NCBI's taxonomy places the organism in Eukaryota, Metazoa, Chordata, Actinopteri, Cyprinodontiformes, Poeciliidae.